CGGAGGGUGCAAGCGUUUAUCCGGAUUCACUGGGUUUAAAGGGUGCGUAGGUGGGUUGGUAAGUCAGUGGUGAAAUCUCCAGGCUUAACUUGGAAACUGCCAUUGAUACUAUCAGUCUUGAAUACCGUGGAGAUGAGCGGAAUAUGUCAUGUAGCGGUGAAAUGCUUAGAUAUGACAUAGAACACCAAUUGCGAAGGCAGCUCGUUACACGAAUAUUGACACUGAUGCGCGAAAGCGUGGGGAUCAAACAGGAUUAGAUACCCUGGUAGUCCACGCCCUAAACGAUGGAUACUCGACAUUUGCGAUAAACUGCAAGUGUCUGAGCGAAAGCAUUAAGUAUCCCACCUGGGAAGUACGACCGCAAGGUUG
RNAcentral lists this ribosomal RNA (369 nucleotides) under uncultured organism. RNAcentral describes it as "bacterial SSU rRNA". It matches the Rfam family "Bacterial small subunit ribosomal RNA", at positions 526 to 896 of the family's 1533-position model. The record is from RNAcentral.